RNAcentral lists this ribosomal RNA (253 nucleotides) under uncultured bacterium. Its description in RNAcentral is "partial 16S ribosomal RNA". It matches the Rfam family "Bacterial small subunit ribosomal RNA", at positions 524 to 776 of the family's 1533-position model. The record is from RNAcentral.
UACGAAGGGGGCUAGCGUUGCUCGGAAUUACUGGGCGUAAAGGGCGCGUAGGCUGUCAUGUUAGUCGGGUGUGAAACCCCCGGGCUCAACCUGGGAACUGCACUCGAUACGGCAUGGCUUGAGGACGAGAGAGGGUGGUGGAACUCCCAGUGUAGAGGUGAAAUUCGUAGAUAUUGGGAAGAACACCAGUGGCGAAGGCGGCCACCUGGCUCGUUCCUGACGCUGAGGCGCGAAAGCGUGGGGAGCAAACAGG